This 32-nucleotide non-coding RNA is filed under the name Mus musculus (house mouse). The record is from RNAcentral. Lineage: Eukaryota; Metazoa; Chordata; Mammalia; Rodentia; Muridae.
UAAUGGAAGGAUACACCCUAAGAUAGAUGCGC